GAUGAAGAACGCAGCGAAAUGCGAUAAGUAAUGCGAAUUGCAGAAUUCAGUGAGUCAUCGAAUCUUUGAACGCACAUUGCGCCCUGUGGUAUUCCGCAGGGCAUGCCUGUUCGAGCGUCAUUUCAACCCUCAAGCUCUGCUUGGUGUUGGGCCCUGCCCGCUGCGGCCGGCCCUAAAGACAGUGGCGGUGCCGCCUGGCCCUGAGCGUAGUACAUCUCUCGCUCCAGUGCCCGGUGGUAGCCUGCCAGAACCCCAACUCUCAUGGUUGACCUCGGAUCAGGUAGGGAUACCCGCUGAACUUAAGCAUAUCAAUAAGCGGAGGA
This 323-nucleotide unclassified non-coding RNA is filed under the name soil metagenome. RNAcentral describes it as "partial contains 5.8S ribosomal RNA, internal transcribed spacer 2, and large subunit ribosomal RNA". The stretch from base 1 to 120 matches the Rfam family "5.8S ribosomal RNA", at positions 35 to 154 of the family's 154-position model. The record is from RNAcentral.